UUUCGCAAUGCCCGAAAGGGUGACGAAGCGACGCCGCGUGUGGGAAGAAGGCCUUCGGGUUGUAAACCACUGUCGGGAGUUAGGAAAUGUAAGGGUGCUAAUAGUAUCCUUGCUUGACUAAGGCUCCGGAGGAAGCCACGGCUAACUCUGUGCCAGCAGCCGCGGUAAUACAGAGGCGGCAAGCGUUGUUCGGAAUUAUUGGGCGUAAAGAGCACGUAGGCGGCCUUGUAAGUCAGUUGUGAAAGCCUUCUGCUUAACGGAAGAACAGCAGCUGAUACUGCAAGGCUAGAGUGCGGAAGGGGAGAGUGGAACUUCUGGUGGAGCGGUGAAAUGCGUAGAUAUCAGAAGGAACACCGGCGGCGAAGGCGACUCUCUGGUCCGUAACUGACGCUGAGUGUGCGAAAGCUAGGGGAGCAAACGGGAUUAGAUAUCCCGGUAGUCCUAGCCGUAAACGAUGGGCACUAAGUAGAGGGGUUUUA
RNAcentral lists this ribosomal RNA (479 nucleotides) under uncultured Planctomycetota bacterium. RNAcentral describes it as "bacterial SSU rRNA". It matches the Rfam family "Bacterial small subunit ribosomal RNA", at positions 364 to 833 of the family's 1533-position model. The record is from RNAcentral. Lineage: Bacteria; Pseudomonadati; Planctomycetota.